AUCCAGCUGACAAGUUCUAAAUAGGACGAAACAAGCAUCCUGGAU
Molecule: non-coding RNA, 45 nt
Filed under: Schistosoma mansoni
Lineage: Eukaryota; Metazoa; Platyhelminthes; Trematoda; Strigeidida; Schistosomatidae
Source: RNAcentral